CAGUAAAGAUGCUGCGAGAAGGGACGCCGGAUGUACCCCCUGUGCUGGGGAGGAGCCUGCAAUGGCAUUGACUUUGGAGUCAGCGAAGCUGCAGCAUGCACGAGCUCUUCACAGGAGAGAGUGGGGCAUCAGAGUCAAGGACAUAGCACCAAACCCGAAACCCGAACACGAAAGGCAAAGGAGAGGAGAAAUGUGCAUCGGAGAAUGGGAAGAAAUGGGCAAAGUGUUGAGAAAGUCUGUGUCCAGGGAAGUUUUCCUGAAUUUGGGUAUGACCCCAGAACAGGAUGGGAUCAGGCCGAGCUUCCAAGGAGCACCUGAUGGCCGGGGAAGCCCACAUAGUGGCAAGCAUGCUUUCCAUUUCACAGUUCCAGGGGGACUCAAGGAAAUAGAAAAUCACAAGACUCUCAGUAUCUGAGGUAGACAUCCCAUGCAAUUAGUAGAGAACACAGACAAAUAGAAGAUACGUCUUUGUAUUUGAAAAUGAGGAGAGAGAUCACGUUUGGUAUCAGGAAUCCAUUUAUCUGCAAACAGCAAAAACAACAACACAGUCAACGCCUCUUAACCGUUGAUUGGAGUGAGGAGGGGAGGCAGCAGGGCCCAGGCUGUUUGUUACUCGGCUCAGCCAAGCCACGGGGGGUCCCGGCUGCUCUGCUUGUCUCCGCUCUGUCCCCCUCAGCAGGCACGCCUUCUGCCUCGGGAGCCGUGUCCUGUGGUUACAAGGUGGCUGCUGCCCUGCAAAUCUGCUCCAUGUUCCAGUUUGGAGUAAGAAGAAGGCGAAGAGCACAGGUGACCUCCUAGCAACACCUUGCCUUUUAACCCAGGCCAGAGCGUCCUCCUCAGGGGCUUCCACCUGCAUCUUAUUGGCCAGAACGGAG
Long non-coding RNA from Eptesicus fuscus (big brown bat), 875 nucleotides. RefSeq lists it as uncharacterized. The transcript is spliced from 3 exons. The record is from RefSeq and is a predicted model, not a curated record. Lineage: Eukaryota; Metazoa; Chordata; Mammalia; Chiroptera; Vespertilionidae.